UCUUAUUUUUCACAUAGAAUAGGAAAGCCACCAUUUUGGUUUCUCUACGAUUGAUUUAAGCUAUCCUUAGUUGGUCAUUACCAACUUAGACUUUGAAUCCAAACUUUACGAUUGACUUAGAUACGUAUUGUGGAUCUAGGGACUUGUUGGAGAUUGACAAGAGGCUUGGCUUGUUCCAAGAAGAAGACCAGUUUUCUGUCCGCACCGCCAGUCGCUUGUUUCAAGAAAACAAGGAAUCCGUCUGGAAUGGACGGCAGUUUCUCAUCAGGUUAGUCGUCAAAGAUACUUCACUU
This is a long non-coding RNA of Haliotis rubra (blacklip abalone), 293 nucleotides long. RefSeq lists it as uncharacterized. NCBI's taxonomy places the organism in Eukaryota, Metazoa, Mollusca, Gastropoda, Lepetellida, Haliotidae. The transcript has 3 exons. The record is from RefSeq and is a predicted model, not a curated record.